CCACAGCCUGGAAAAUUCCAUGGGCAGGACUUACGUGGACGUGCCCACAGCCAAUCAGGGAGCCCGGCCUGAUGAGCAAGGCUGCAAACCUCAGAGACGCUGGCCACACUGGACCGGGGCUGGGGACCGCCCUGCACCCCCCACCCACUCUCCUGGGACUGGAGGCCACUGUGGGUGGCCAUCUUGACUGUGGGCAGCACAGCCCACGGAGCCAUGACCACUGAGGUAAAACCCUGCAUGAUUAGAAGGACUCAGACUGUGGGUCUACCCAACAGCCAUUUCUGCUGGAUAUUCCAGACUGACAAGCCACUCCCACAACAGAAGCUGAAAUAUCCCAAUAUCCACUUUCCCAGCCUUCCCUGCAUUUCUGAAUGGCCUAGGGACCCAACUCUGGCCAGUGGAAGCUGAGGGUACAUCCGCGGGGAGUUUGAAGAAGGGAAUUCCUGAUAAAAAGGCACCUACAGGAGUGAACACCCUAUUCAGGUUAGCCUCUAUGUGCUGUCAAGGGAGGACAUGGUGUUUGGAACUGUGGCAGCCAACCAGGGCCAUGAAAGGAAGACCAAGGAAUGGCAGGGACACCUGUCCACAAGCUGCCAAACCAGCCCCUGGCAAAGCCAUCUGUGCCCUCCCUGUUUUGUGACAUGAAGAAUUUGAUAAUUUUGCCAGUGUUUACACAAAAUAAUGAUAAUUAGUGUGCUGUUUGUCAAAUGUUUGCAGCUCUCCACCCCUCGGGCAUACAGUAGGAUUACAGCUCAUUGAACUCUACUGGCUGAGUGGAGACAUGCAACUCGUUCUGGCCAAACGGCUGGGAUAUAUCACUUCCAAGAUGGACUGUUUAACUGCCAGGGAAAAACUUCUAGAGAUCUCUUUCCCUCUGCCACAAGGAAUGAGACCUUUAAGAUGCUGGCUGCUCUAGCAGCAUGCUUCCUUGAAUAAUCAUGAUGAGCACAGCUCUUUUGCCAACCUGAGAUACACAUAUAGAGUGAACAAAAACAGUUAAAAAGGCUGGAGCUCCAGCAGCCCUUCUGGACCAGAAGGCAGCCUUAAGGACAGAUGCCACAUGUUGAGGAUUACAGAGCAAAGUUGGAAGGAAGCUGAGUCAUUGAUAACAUAUGAACCUAUACUGCUGACUUCUGGGCUUUGUAAAAAGAGAGAAAUGAGCUGUUAUCUUGUUUAGGUCGCUGGUAUUCCUGUUUCUAUUACAUACAACCAAAUGCAACUCCUAACUGACGCAAAGCUUUCUGGAAAACCUCUUGUUUUUACUGAUAAAAAGGACAGAUAUGAUUGGUACCCUGCUGGCCCCUUUUUCCUGCCUUAAAAGGCAGAUGCAAUGGCUGCAGCUGAAGUGGUCAUUUAAACACCACUAGAGCAAGCACAGUAGGCUCUCAGCAAUCCAAGCCUUGAUGUCACUAACCAAGGACAGCAGCCUCAUACCUUUUGGAGUCUUAUGAGGUAAAAGAAACAAACUUGUUUGCUCACUGUGUUGUCAGCUCAGUUUUGUGUUCCUUGGAGCUGAAUGUAUCCUGAAUUUAUAUGUGUCCUUCCCAUUGAU
Delphinapterus leucas (beluga whale) is the source of this 1552-nucleotide non-coding RNA. The record is from RefSeq and is a predicted model, not a curated record. NCBI's taxonomy places the organism in Eukaryota, Metazoa, Chordata, Mammalia, Artiodactyla, Monodontidae.